AUGAUCCGUGCGGGAGAGCCCGAUGAACACGGUCGGGCACCGAAGGAGCAAGCCUCCCCGCCAAUCUCUCAGGUACCCCUACCGCCCCGGUCCG
Molecule: non-coding RNA, 94 nt
Organism: Microbacterium sp. AR7-10
Lineage: Bacteria; Bacillati; Actinomycetota; Actinomycetes; Micrococcales; Microbacteriaceae
Source: Rfam